This 125-nucleotide small RNA is filed under the name Marmota monax (woodchuck). The record is from RNAcentral. Lineage: Eukaryota; Metazoa; Chordata; Mammalia; Rodentia; Sciuridae.
GCCAGGCAUGGUAUCGCAUGCCUGUAAUCCUAGUGGCUCUGGAGGCUCAGACAGGAGAAUCGCAAGUUCAAAGCCAGCCUCAGCAAAGACCAGGUGCUAAGCAACUCAAUGAGACCCUGUCUCUA